GAUGAACGCUGGCGGCGUGCCUAAUACAUGCAAGUCGAGCGAACAGACGAGGAGCUUGCUCCUUUGACGUUAGCGGCGGACGGGUGAGUAACACGUGGAUAACCUACCUAUAAGACUGGGAUAACUUCGGGAAACCGGAGCUAAUACCGGAUAACAUGUUGAACCGCAUGGUUCAACAGUGAAAGACGGUCUUGCUGUCACUUAUAGAUGGAUCCGCGCCGCAUUAUCUAGUUGGUAAGGUAACGGCUUACCAAGGCAACGAUGCGUAGCCGACCUGAGAGGGUGAUCGGCCACACUGGAACUGAGACACGGUCCAGACUCCUACGGGAGGCAGCAGUAGGGAAUCUUCCGCAAAGGGCGAAAGCCUGACGGAGCAACGCCGCGUGAGUGAAGAAGGUCUUCGGAUCGUAAAACUCUGUUAUUAGGGAAGAACAAAUGUGUAAGUAACUAUGCACGUCUUGACGGUACCUAAUCAGAAAGCCACGGCUAACUACGUG
Molecule: ribosomal RNA, 497 nt
Filed under: uncultured bacterium
Lineage: Bacteria
Description: partial 16S ribosomal RNA
Rfam family: Bacterial small subunit ribosomal RNA
Source: RNAcentral